UGGGGAAUAUUGCACAAUGGGCGCAAGCCUGAUGCAGCCAUGCCGCGUGUGUGAAGAAGGCCUUCGGGUUGUAAAGCACUUUCAGCGAGGAGGAAGGGUUCAGUGUUAAUAGCACUGUUCAUUGACGUUACUCGCAGAAGAAGCACCGGCUAACUCCGUGCCAGCAGCCGCGGUAAUACGGAGGGUGCAAGCGUUAAUCGGAAUUACUGGGCGUAAAGCGCACGCAGGCGGUUUGUUAAGUCAGAUGUGAAAUCCCCGCGCUUAACGUGGGAACUGCAUUUGAAACUGGCAAGCUAGAGUCUUGUAGAGGGGGGUAGAAUUCCAGGUGUAGCGGUGAAAUGCGUAGAGAUCUGGAGGAAUACCGGUGGCGAAGGCGGCCCCCCUGGACAAAGACUGACGCUCAGGUGCGAAAGCGUGGGGAGCAAAACAGGAUUAGAUACCCUGGUAGUCCACGCUGUAAACGAUGUCGACUUGGAGGUUGUGCCCUUGAGGCGUGGCUUCCGGAGCUAACGCGUUAAGUCGACCGCCUGGGGGAGUACGGCCGC
RNAcentral lists this ribosomal RNA (545 nucleotides) under uncultured bacterium. RNAcentral's name for it is "partial 16S ribosomal RNA". It matches the Rfam family "Bacterial small subunit ribosomal RNA", at positions 355 to 889 of the family's 1533-position model. The record is from RNAcentral.